CGCGCCGCCAUUUUGCCAAGCGGCACCGCGUGACCCCGAGGCUCAGCUGCGAUUGGCCGAAGCGCUGGUUGCCCGGGAGAUAGAGAAGCUUCCCGGUGAAGAUGCGGAGCAUUGAAGAGAGUCCAAGUGCUCUUUCCACAGGCAGUGCAAACUUCGCUGCUCCAAGCAAGACCAGAAUCUGCCGACCAGAAGGAAAGAGGUCCCUUUGCCCAGCCUGGGACAUUACUGAUGGCCCAUGAUCUACUGAAGAGGAAAGGAAGAAACAAAGAGCCGACAUGAGAGUUAGGAGAAAAAAACCACGUAUGAGUGCUGAAAGCCAUGCUACUGCCAUUUUAAAAACCCGUGGUGUUGUGACCCCUGCAGCCCGGCAGUGAUGGGCAAUGCUGGAUAAUGCAGCGGUGCCAUGCUUUCCCUUUUCUGUCUCCUUUGAGUCUAGAACUAAGGACAAACUGAAUGUGGACAAAGAUUUCUCAUGUGAAGACAGCACCAAUAAUUUACCCACUGCAUGGUGUUGUUAAAAUUCAAAUGUGAUAACCCUUAAAACUAAUGCCUCAUUGUUUAAAAAAAUAAAUAAGUAACACUGUAUAUAUUUUA
This is a long non-coding RNA of Mesocricetus auratus (golden hamster), 594 nucleotides long. RefSeq lists it as uncharacterized. The transcript is spliced from 2 exons. The record is from RefSeq and is a predicted model, not a curated record. NCBI's taxonomy places the organism in Eukaryota, Metazoa, Chordata, Mammalia, Rodentia, Cricetidae.